This 253-nucleotide ribosomal RNA is filed under the name uncultured bacterium. Its description in RNAcentral is "partial 16S ribosomal RNA". It matches the Rfam family "Bacterial small subunit ribosomal RNA", at positions 524 to 776 of the family's 1533-position model. The record is from RNAcentral.
UACGGAGGGUGCGAGCGUUGUCCGGAAUCAUUGGGCGUAAAGGGCGCGUAGGUGGCCCGGUCAGUUCGUGGUGAAAGCGCGGGGCUCAACUCCGGAUCUGCGGUGGGUACGGGCAGACUAGAGUGAUGUAGGGGAGACUGGAAUUCCUGGUGUAGCGGUGAAAUGCGCAGAUAUCAGGAGGAACACCGAUGGCGAAGGCAGGUCUCUGGGCAUUAACUGACGCUGAGGAGCGAAAGCAUGGGGAGCGAACAGG